AGUGUGUAGUGUCUGGGGUUGGUAGUGGGGUUAGUGUAGUGUUUAGUGUGUAGUGUCUGGGGUGGUAGUGGGGUUAGUGAGGUGUGUAGUGUGUGUAGUGUCUGGGGUUGGUAGUGGGGAUAGUGUAGUGCGUAGUGUGUAGUGUCUGGGGUUGGUAGUGGGGACAGUGUAGUGUGUUGUGUUUGGGGUUGGUAGUGGGGUAAGUGUUGUGUGUAGUGUCUAGGGUUGGUAGUGGGGAUAGUGAAGUGUGUAGUGUCUGGGGUUGAAGUGUGUAGUGUCUGGGGUUGGUAGUGGGAAUAGUGUAGUGUGUAGGUUCUGGGGUUGGUAGUGGGGAUAGUGUAGUGUGUAGUGUCUGGGGUUGGUAGUGGGGUUAGAGUAGUUGUAGUGUCUGGGGUUGGUAGUGGGGAUAGUGUAGUGUGUAGUGUCCGGGGUUGGUAUUGGGGUUAUUGUAGUGUGAGGUGUGUAGUGUCUGGGGUUGGUAGUGGGGUUAGUGUAGUGUGUAGUUUCUGGGGUUCGUAGUGGGGCUAGUGUAGUGUAUGGGGUAGGUUGUGGGGAUAGUGUAGUUUC
Oncorhynchus tshawytscha (Chinook salmon) is the source of this 567-nucleotide long non-coding RNA. The record is from Ensembl. Lineage: Eukaryota; Metazoa; Chordata; Actinopteri; Salmoniformes; Salmonidae.